UAUGUUUUACUUUUUUUCAUAUCACUAUUUCUCUCAUUCUUCGGGCAUCACCACCGAGUCUCACUACUCCGAUCCACCAGGCCAGCACCACAACUGUAUCUCACAACUAUCACAAUCAUCAUCACCAUCAAUACUAAAUCUCGCUAAUUCCGACCCACCACCUUCAUCAAUAUUUACCGCCACCACCACCAAGGUUGAACCACAAUCAUCAACACCAACACCACCGUUACCACAUCUUCCCCUCUUUCCCCAACUGCUCUUAUUUCUCCACCUUCUUUAUCUCCUCCGACAUCGGGUUGAGCUUCUUCGACAACAACUCUAUUUUAUAUCCAUCGCCGUUCAUAAUUCUUAAUAUGCAUCCAUCGCCAUAUAUUCUCAAUUUGUCUAUAUAUCUAUUUGUUUAUCUAUAGAGGUGAGUAUUUAAAA
Molecule: long non-coding RNA, 426 nt
Filed under: Arabidopsis lyrata
Lineage: Eukaryota; Viridiplantae; Streptophyta; Magnoliopsida; Brassicales; Brassicaceae
Description: long non-coding RNA (ALYR_LNC002438)
Source: RNAcentral